GGUUAUAGGACUGGGCUGCAUGAGUUCAAUAUACAGAGGACAAAGCCCAGAGGGGUUUUGGUUUUGAUCUGUAGACUGCAGAGUUCUUACUUGUACUUCCUGCCAGAGCAGGAACCGGGCCCACAAAUGCCCCUAGGGAGAGAUGCAGAAAGUGGCUGGGAGAAAGAGGCUGAUACUUUGGAAAACCAACAGGGAAGCUGUAGUGGCUACAGAUGAAUGGUGACAGUGAGAACACCGGUAAUCAGCACAGCGCACCUCCUCUGCCAUCCUGUGUUGGGAACAAAAGCUUGAACUAGAACAUGGCCCAGGGCCUUGUGAGUCGUCUGUCUGGGGCUUCCAUAGGCCUCAGGGGAAGCAGAUCAUCACCGUGAAGGAUCUAUUUCUUGACUAUAGGUCUGUGUAUCCACCCCUUUCAGAUAUCAGUUGGAUGACUGUCUUUUCAGCAUGAGUUCUAGACAUAAACAUGCCCUGCUUUGAGCACAAACCCACUGCCCCCAUUCCAGUUUUUUGGGUUUUCCAAAAAUGAUGACCAUGUAAUGACUCUUCAUCUGUUCUCUUGCCUGGAUCUGAUUUGGAGAUACUUUGAGGGGUGACUGUGGCUUUGCAACUGAGCUUUUUUUCUUUUUUCUUUGGGAAGUUAACUGUCCCAACCAUUGUGGUUGCCUAGCAACAAGGGAUGGCCAAGGAUUCUAAAACUCUAAGGACCGAGGGUAGUUAAGGUCUGUCCAAAGGACACGAGUUCCCAGUGGGCCUAACUAGAGAUGGGAGAAUGUUACAGCAUUAACUCUGUAGUCCCAAAUUCUGAAAACACAGAGAGCUACAGCAUGCAGUCUGCAAAUUCAGAGUCAGAUGUACAACCCAACAAUGAAGCACUGUUUUCAGCCUCUGAAAGAACAAAAUCAAAACUUCUUGAGCAAGUUUACUGGAUGGAGGACAAACUAGAAGCUGUGGACGUUAAGGAAGCCAGUAGGGAAUUAUAUGAAAAAAUAAUUCUAAUAAAAGACCAGUGCAUUGAGAAGCUGCAAGCUGAAAUAAAAGCUUCCCAGAAACAACUUAAAGUCCAUGAACUAAAGCACAAAAAGAGACUGAAAAAGCUACAAAUUGAUUUGGCAGCAACAAAGCAAGAGGCUGCCAUCAUGGCGCUGGAACUCAAUGAAAAGAUAAAGACGCUCUGUGAAAAAGAGUCAGCCCCCAGAGGAAUCAUCGUCCCAUCAUUUGCAAAAGAAUCUUCUACAGCACGAUUGCUGAAUCCUUAGGCAUAGAUGUUACGCCCAGGAAUCAUUUACAGGUAGACCAAUAAUCAGCAGCAACUAACGACAGGGAAAAGGAAAAACCACACACCC
Molecule: long non-coding RNA, 1343 nt
Filed under: Fukomys damarensis (Damara mole-rat)
Lineage: Eukaryota; Metazoa; Chordata; Mammalia; Rodentia; Bathyergidae
Description: lncRNA (ENSFDAG00000032266.1)
Source: RNAcentral